UCCCUCAUGUUUCCAUUAAAUUAAAGAAGUUGUUUGUCGUUGAUGGAUCUAUAAGGUCAAGUCACAGCAAUGCCUAUAUGUAUGGAUUUUUUAAGAACAAGAGGAUUGUCCUUUAUGAUACACUGAUCCAGCAUUGCAAAAAUGAUGAGGAAAUUGUAGCUGUUCUAGCUCAUGAGCUAGGCCAUUGGAAGCUUAAUCACAGUGUAUACUUAUUCAUUUCUAUGCAGGUAUGUAUGCUAUAAUUUUUCUUGCAAAUGCAUGUCAUUUUAGAAACUAGUGACAUUUAUGGCCGGUUGACACUGAGUAAGCUCUUCAGUAUUGCUGUGUGAUUUUUCUACAUUGGUGCAGAUCUGUACGCUGUUACACUUUGGGGGAUAUGCUCUCCUGAGAAAGUCCAGCAGUCUGUCUCAAAGUUUUGGGUUUGAUACCCAACCAGUAAUCAUUGGUCUCAUCAUA
Rosa rugosa (rugosa rose) is the source of this 456-nucleotide long non-coding RNA. RefSeq lists it as uncharacterized. The record is from RefSeq and is a predicted model, not a curated record. Lineage: Eukaryota; Viridiplantae; Streptophyta; Magnoliopsida; Rosales; Rosaceae. The transcript has 3 exons.